CAGAAACAUAACAAUUUUCAAAGCACUUCUUAGAUUGUAGAGGAAGAUUCCACUGAUGAAGAAGAAAAUGUUGGGAAUUCCCUGGCAGUUCAGUGAUUAGGAUUCUGCACUUUCACUGCCUAGAGCUCAGGUUCAAUCCCUGGUGGAGGAUCUAAGAUCCCACAAGUUACGUGGUGCAGCCAAAGGGUAUCAUACUUACUACAUCACUGUGUAAUUACUUUUUUCUCCGUCUAUCUUUCCCACCAUAUGAUGAAUCCUAGAGAAGAAAUCGUGUCUUUUUCAGUAGACUUGAUUUACCAGCAUAUAGCCCAAUGCCUGACAGAUGGCUGCUUGGAGAAAGGAAAACUGAGGACGUGCCUGGUGACUACUGUGGACUGUGAAAACGCCAUGGGCUGUUUAGCAGAGAAUGUCAUGGCUGCUCUCAUCUGCUGCUGGAGGGAAGAAACCACCGACAGAGCACUCCUUGAAUAAUGAAAGUAGUUAGGACAGCUGGAUGAAUUUCUGGGUGAAUCAACAGACAUCUGUUGAGCCACGGCUCUAUGCAGAAAGUUGAGUCUCUAGAGACGAGGUACAGUCUUUAGCAGGAUUUUCUGAAUUUUUGAAAGAUCAGAUGUAGUUGAGCAUUACACUACAAAAUAUAAUUUCUCCCAUCUUCAUGAUCCUGUGAUUUGGUUAGUGGCAAGUAGCCUCAGCUUUCUUUAGCAGAACCAUCUGUAACAUAAGGACCUUGUUAUAAUAAAAACAGAGCACAUCUUUUGUGUUAAUCUCUAUAAAUAAUUCCAAAAUCCUUUCAAGAGAGAUAAUAAUUGGGUGGAAAACUUCUUUAAGCUUUGUAUCAGGCCCUAACAGGUAGGAGAAUUAUCAUUAGUGGGAAAGAAGCCAGUUAGAUGUCGUGUCACAAAUAACACCGUGACCUAGAAGCAAUUAUUAUAGACCUAAAGAGCGAAAUGAAAUAACACUGAAAAAUGAGACUUGCUUUCAACCACAUUCUAGAGGCGAAAUUGCACUUUUUAGAGAUUUUAAUUAUGUAACAAGCUGUCUAUCAGUUGGGCAAAAGAGUGAGUUUGAAUCACCAAAUAUUUUGAUUUGUGGAUAGAUGCCAGGACACAUUUUCUUUCACUGGGAUGGAAGGUGAAGUCGCUCAGUUGUGUGCAACUCUUUGAGACCCCAUAAACUGUAGCCUCAGAGAAGGCGAUGGCACCCCACUCCAGUACUCUUGCCUGGAAAAUCCCAUGGACGGAGGAGCCUGGUAGGCUGAAGUCCAUGGGGUCACAAAGAGUCAGACAUGACUGAGCAACUUGCACUCAUACAUACAUAUACAAUGAAUAUAUAUAUAUAUAUAUUCUUUUCCAUUGUGGUUUAUCACAGGAUACUUUAUAUAGCUCUCUGUGCUGUACAGUAGUUCCUUGUUGUUUAUCCAUUCCAUACAUAAUAGCUUACAUUUGCUAACCCUGACUUCCCACUCCAUCCCAUCUCCACCCCACUCCUCCUUGGCAACUACAGUCUGUUCUCUAUGUCCUUGGGUCUGUUUCUGUUUCAUAUGCAUGCAGUGUUUUAAAUGAUAUUUAUUCUUCUCUUUUCCUUACUUAAAAAUCCCCAAAUUCUCCUUGACUAAAAUUUAAAAAUCAUUGUAACUGGACUAAUCCAGAAACAUAACAAUUUUCAAAGCACUUCUUAGAUUGUAGAGGAAGAUUCCACUGAUGAAGAAGAAAAUGUUGGGAAUUCCCUGGCAGUUCAGUGAUUAGGAUUCUGCACUUUCACUGCCUAGAGCUCAGGUUCAAUCCCUGGUGGAGGAUCUAAGAUCCCACAAGUUACGUGGUGCAGCCAAAGGGUAUCAUACUUACUACAUCACUGUGUAAUUACUUUUUUCUCCGUCUAUCUUUCCCACCAUAUGAUGAAUCCUAGAGAAGAAAUCGUGUCUUUUUCAGUAGACUUGAUUUACCAGCAUAUAGCCCAAUGCCUGACAGAUGGUAAGUGCUUAAUAACUAUAAAAUUGAUAGACUAAUGAAUGUUUUAAAUGAUUUUAUUUACCUGUACUUUUUACAGAGUAAUAUCAGUCUAAAGAAUUGAGUCCUAAAAAAAAAAAAAAAGAAUUGAGUUCUGUUUUGUGUUCAGUUGUGUGCAACUCUUUGAGACCCCAUAAACUGUAGCCUCAGAGAAGGCGAUGGCACCCCACUCCAGUACUCUUGCCUGGAAAAUCCCAUGGACGGAGGAGCCUGGUAGGCUGAAGUCCAUGGGGUCACAAAGAGUCGAACACGACUGAGCGACUUCCCUUUCACUUUUCACUUUCAUGCAUUGGAGAAGGAAAUGGCAACCCACUCCAGUGUUCUUGCCUGGAGAAUCCCAGGGAUGGGAGAGCCUGGUGGGCUGCUGUCUAUGGGGUCGCACAGAGUCAGACACGACUGAAGUGACUUAGCAAAACUGUAGCCUGCCAGGUUCCUCCAUCCUUGGGAUUUUCCAUGCAAGAAUAGUGGAGUGGAUUGCCAUUUCCUUCUCUGGGGGAUCUUCCAGCCCAGGUAUGGAACCCAGGUCUCCCACGCUGCAGGCAGACUCUUUACCAUCUGAGCCACCAGGAAACCCUCUUCCCACCACGGAAACAUCUUCUUUCAUUAAUUUGUAUUUAUUUAUUUUGGGGAAUCCCCUGGUGAUCCAGUGGCUAGGACUCUGUGCUUUCCACUCUUGAAGGUGCAGGUUCGACACCUGGUCAGGGAGCUAAGAUCCCACAAACUGAUAAUUAUGUGACAACCUGGCUAUUAGUUGAACAAAAGAGUGAAUUUGAAUCACCAGGUGUGUAUUUUGAUUUGUGAGUAGGUGCCAAUGGCAACCCACUCCAGUACUCUU
Long non-coding RNA from Bos grunniens (domestic yak), 2841 nucleotides. The record is from Ensembl. Lineage: Eukaryota; Metazoa; Chordata; Mammalia; Artiodactyla; Bovidae.